AGGAAACUACCAUAAUUGGUAAUAUGGGUUGAGCUGUAAACUCAAUAGCAUUAAGCUUUUAAGAGUUCGAAUCUCUUGUUUCCUA
RNAcentral lists this transfer RNA (85 nucleotides) under Phyllopsora corallina. RNAcentral's name for it is "tRNA-Tyr". It matches the Rfam family "tRNA". Rfam says of the family: Transfer RNA (tRNA) molecules are approximately 80 nucleotides in length. Their secondary structure includes four short double-helical elements and three loops (D, anti-codon, and T loops). Lineage: Eukaryota; Fungi; Ascomycota; Lecanoromycetes; Lecanorales; Ramalinaceae. The record is from RNAcentral.